This 693-nucleotide ribosomal RNA is filed under the name uncultured Campylobacterales bacterium. RNAcentral describes it as "bacterial SSU rRNA". It matches the Rfam family "Bacterial small subunit ribosomal RNA", at positions 115 to 828 of the family's 1533-position model. The record is from RNAcentral. Lineage: Bacteria; Pseudomonadati; Campylobacterota; Epsilonproteobacteria; Campylobacterales.
GUAUAGGUAAUAUGCCUUUUACUAAGGGAUAACAGAUGGAAACGUUUGCUAAUACCUUAUACUCCGUUUAUGUAUAAAUGUAAAUGGGAAAGAUUUAUCGGUAAGAGAUUGGCCUGUAUUGUAUCAGUUAGUUGGUGGGGUAAUGGCCUACCAAGACAAUGACGCAUAACUGGUUUGAGAGGAUGAUCAGUCACACUGGAACUGAGACACGGUCCAGACUCCUACGGGAGGCAGCAGUGGGGAAUAUUGCACAAUGGACGGAAGUCUGAUGCAGCAACGCCGCGUGGAGGAUGACACAUUUCGGUGCGUAAACUCCUUUUAUAUAAGAAGAUAAUGACGGUAAUAUAUGAAUAAGCACCGGCUAACUCCGUGCCAGCAGCCGCGGUAAUACGGGGGGUGCAAGCGUUACUCGGAAUCACUGGGCGUAAAGAGCAUGUAGGCGGAUUGAUAAGUUUGAAGUGAAAUCCUAUAGCUUAACUAUAGAACUGCUUUGAAAACUGUUAAUCUAGAAUGUGGGAGAGGUAGAUGGAAUUUCUGGUGUAGGGGUAAAAUCCGUAGAGAUCAGAAGGAAUACCGAUUGCGAAGGCGAUCUACUAGAACACUAUUGACGCUGAGAUGCGAAAGCGUGGGGAGCAAACAGGAUUAGAUACCCUGGUAGUCCACGCCCUAAACGAUGUACACUAGUUGUUGUGA